GAUGAACGCUGGCGGCGUGCCUAACACAUGCAAGUCGAACGGAAAGGCCCGGAUCUUGUGGCGCGCUCGAGUGCCGAGCGGGGGAGUAACACGUGAGUAAACCGCCCUUGAAUUUCGGGUAAAUUCUGGAGAAUGGGGCGAAUACACCAUAGGAGCUCCUGCUGCAUGGGGGGGGUUGGAAAGUGUCGGCGGUGCGGGAUGGACUCGCGGGUUAUGAGCUUGUUGGUGUGGUAGUGGCUUACCAAGGCUUUGACGGGUAGCCGGCCUGAGAGGGUGACCGGCCACAUUGGGACUGAGAUACGGCCCAGACGCCUACGGGAGGCAGUAGUGGGGAAUAUUGCAGAACGGGCGGAAGCGUGAUGCAGCAACGCUGCGUGCGGGAUGACGGCUUUCGGGUGGUAAACCGAUUUCGCCUGUGACGAAGCGUGAGUGACGGUAAUGGGUAAAGAAGCACCGGCUAACUACGUG
RNAcentral lists this ribosomal RNA (468 nucleotides) under uncultured bacterium. RNAcentral's name for it is "partial 16S ribosomal RNA". It matches the Rfam family "Bacterial small subunit ribosomal RNA", at positions 28 to 507 of the family's 1533-position model. The record is from RNAcentral.